UUCUCGCAAUUCCUAUUUGUCUCUCUCAACCCAGGCAGGAAAUUCGACGAAGACCUUUCCUGCGAGCCCCUCCGUUGCUUGGGAUGAAUCGAUCGGGAACCUCUUGCAGCCACUCAAUAGAACCGUAUCCACCACGUGGUCCGAUCACAUCCUCAUCUUUUCUGCCCGCCAUUGAUUCUGGCACGCUUCAUGUUCCCCUCUGUGAAUCUCUUCUCUUGUUAACCCCUCAAUCAUGGCUUCAUGAUUAGGUGUGUGGCGCUGUAAUUUUAGAAACGGCGUUGGUGGAGCAACGAUUCUCUCAAUUGUCGCCGUCUGUGUGAUUUUCGGUUGUGAAUUCGGAAAGGUAGAAGUCUUUGAGCCGCCGUGGUUCAGUCGGAGCGAGACCUUUUGUUGGGAGGUUGUCAGGCGCUUAGGUGCAGCUCAAUCGCUAACUGAAACGAGACUUGUGAGGAGCUCGAAGGCCGCUGAUUGGCAGCCCCGGCGAGUAUAAUUGUGGAACCUGUGGCGUGGAGUGUAGUAGUCGUCUGUCUGCGACCAAUAGCAUCUUGGCUUUGCCGACCCUGCCCCCCAAUUGUACCGCUUCUCUGUAAAGAGGAAAGGGUUCUACCUAUCAUCUGCAUCACACUGAAUCUGUGUCGAGAUGGCCGCCGUUGCGGGGAACCUUGGUGCUGUUGCUGGAGCGAGUCUGAAUAGCAAUGUUCUGGUAAAGCUCGAUGGUGGAAGUGUCAGUUCAAGUGCAUUUUUGGGUCGCAAGUUGGCGACCGGGGGAUCUAUUAAAGCCAAUGUGAAGCACCAGGGGGUGGUGGGGAAGAGGCGGGGUGUGGUGGCUUAUGUUGCUCCGAGCACCACAGAGAAGUCCGUGAAUGAGCCCAAGAAGGCUGCUGGCGGGAUUGCGGAGGGCCAGAAGGGUGGGCAAUGUUUCGGCGUGUUUUGCGUCACGUAUGAUCUGAAGGAGGGCGAAAGACCCAAAACGUGGAGGAAAACGGUGCGCAUUGCGGUGUCUGGGGCCGCUGGUAUGAUUGCUAAUCACUUGUUGUUCAAGCUUGCGUCUGGAGAGGUCUUCGGCCAGGAUCAGCCCAUUGCACUGAAUUUGUUGGGUUCUGAGAGGUCGCGGGAUGCUCUGGAGGGAGUGGCUAUGGAGUUGGAGGAUUCGCUGUUCCCCUUAUUGCGAGAAGUGAACAUUGGUAUUGAGCCAGAGGAGGUUUUUGCUGAUGCGGAUUGGGCUCUUCUUAUCGGUGCCAAGCCCCGAGGUCCUGGAAUGGAGAGGGCGGACUUGCUCGACCUCAAUGGACAAAUUUUUGCCAACCAGGGCAAAGCUUUGAACAAAGUGGCGAGCCCUGAUGUGAAAGUUCUCGUGGUGGGCAACCCAUGCAACACGAAUGCUCUGAUCGCUUUGAAGAAUGCGCCUCGUCUCAACCCUCGGAAUUUCCAUGCCCUCACCAGGUUGGAUGAGAAUCGAGCCAAAUGCCAGUUGGCCCUCAAGGCUGGUGUAUUUUACGAUAACGUAUCGAACAUGACGAUCUGGGGAAACCACUCCACCACACAAGUCCCAGAUUUCUUGAACGCCAAAAUCCAUGGCGCAAGAGUGGUGGAUGUCAUUCAGGAUGAGAAGUGGCUGAAGGAAGAGUUUACUCCCAGAGUGCAGAAACGAGGAGGUGCCCUUAUCCAGAAGUGGGGUCGAUCAUCUGCCGCUUCUACAGCGGUAUCGAUUGCUGAUGCCAUCAAGUCUUUGAUUACCCCCACUCCAGAAGGUGACUGGUUUUCAUCAGGAGUAUACACGAACGGAAACCCCUACGGAAUUGCUGAAGAUAUUAUCUACAGCAUGCCCUGUCGAUCUGCUGGAGAUGGGUCCUGGGAGUUGGUUACCGAUUGUGAAAUUAACGACUACCUACGUGAGCGCAUGAAGAAGAGCGAAGACGAGUUACUCGCAGAGAAGAAGUGUGUUGCCCAUCUAAUUGGCCAGGAGAAUGGCUAUUGUGACCUUCCCGAAGGCGAUACAAUGUUGCCUGGAGAGCUGUAAAUCUUGGUCACUGAUGUUUCUCUGAAACUUCGAUGAGGCUGGUACUGAGGUACAGUCGGAAGUCCAUGUUUCUUAGCUGGUCUUUGAAGAAAGCGCGCGGUUUGUUCGAAAACUGCUGGAGAUGAGUGCAACUCAAGAGGGCCCCCGCAUCCCAAAUUUACUAUUACUGCAGACUGCAACUUUAUUCCUCAGGGAGCUCAUUCAAGAAUAACUUCGCGCAACUGUCUGUAGGGGAUACAGCGCACACAAACGACGAUGGCAGGGGGUUAAUCUCAUCCAAGCUUCUAUAGCUGAAUACAGCUGUCCCAUAAAUCAUCCUUAGGGCAUCGAAACCAGAGACCGACCCACGAGACCUAGAAGGGAGGAAUAAAUGACAAAACCUUGGGCAUUGCAAUUUGUAACUAUCAUUAGAUGUAGGGUCCAGUAGGAUUGGUCUUGGAGCUGUUGGUUUCGUGCGACCUGUGAUCUCUACACCAUCCUUGCUCGGACUACCUCGUCACUUUAUCCAUGACAAAUUGGCUUACGAAUGGUUUUCCAACACAUUGCUUGUCUAUUUCGAAGCUCCCCUUGUAUUCACUGUUGACGCUGCUUGAUCAGCCCUGCACUGGGUAUUAUCGAUGCGAUCCACCCAGAAGAAUUGUAGUUUAUCGGACUUCUCGUUGAGUUGGUUUUGGAGAGUGGAAUCGAGCCUUUCUUCACUGCUGAUACUGUCUCAAUUUCCUUGGCUGUAGAUAUGAGGAACAGAAUUGGCUUAAUUAGAAGGUGACGGCGUUGCACUCAAGGUGAUGCUGAGAAGGUUUGAGAAACAGCAGAAUAUGUUAGAUCUGAACUAGGCUAUUCUUUGGAAUGUUCAGUGGCUUCAAUGUCCUGACGACUGAUGCUCUGGGGAAAGUAUAGAUGGCGAGCCCUGGACAUGGUCCUUCAGGAUCCAUGGUUCAAGGAAGUAGAAGAUGGAUUGAAAGGGCUGAAAUCUAGCAGAGAAUUUUUAACGCGAGUCUCUAACGAUUCUUGAAUAUACUAAAAGUAGCUUUCAGGUAUGCAUAACGAAUAGUAUGGCAUUUGCAUGUCAGGGGAGUAGAAGAAACCUGAGUGAAACCAGAUACUGCUGCUUUUCGUUACCAUUUGAUUCCAUUGUACCUUUUCAUCACUACUUCAAAUCAAUUACUCCACAAUCUGAA
Physcomitrium patens is the source of this 3198-nucleotide non-coding RNA. Lineage: Eukaryota; Viridiplantae; Streptophyta; Bryopsida; Funariales; Funariaceae. The record is from RefSeq and is a predicted model, not a curated record.